Molecule: ribosomal RNA, 3165 nt
Filed under: Triticum aestivum (bread wheat)
Lineage: Eukaryota; Viridiplantae; Streptophyta; Magnoliopsida; Poales; Poaceae
Description: partial small subunit ribosomal RNA
Source: RNAcentral
AUGGGUGUGAUAUCGCGGAAGGUCCUGCCAGUGUGCGGGGCCCUGUGCUACUUCUGCCCCGGGCUCAGGGCACGGUCCAGGCAACCCGUUAAGCGGUACAAGAAGAUCCUUGCUGAAAUCUUCCCCAGAUCACAGGACGAAGAACCAAAUGAGAGAAGGAUCGGGAAGCUGUGCGAGUACGCCGCCAAGAACCCUCUUCGAGUGCCCAAGAUCACAGUUUACCUGGAGCAAAGGAUUUACAAGGAAUUAAGAGCCGAGCAGUAUGGUUUUGCAAAAGUGGUGAUGCUGAUAUACCGCAGACUGCUGGUUUCUUGCAAAGAACAAAUGCCACUGCUUGCGAGUAGCUUACUAAGCAUUGUACACACACUUUUGGAUCAAAAGAGGCAGGAUGACAUGCGCAUAAUAGCUUGUGAAACCUUGUUUGAUUUUGCUGUCAAUCAGGUGGAUGGUACAUAUCAGUUCAAUCUAGAAGGGCUGGUUCCAAGACUUUGUGAACUAGCUCAAGAAGCAGGAGAGGAUCAGAGAGCAACUUCACUGCGUGCUGCAGGCCUGCAAGCUCUUUCAGCUAUGAUCUGGUUCAUGGGAGAGCUUUCUCAUAUCUCGUCAGAGUUUGAUAAUGUUGUUGAAGUUGUAUUGGAAAACUACAAACCUCAGAGGGCCCAGAUUGAUGACCAAGUUACCAAAGUUCCAGACAAUGAAUUUGCACAAGAAGUCCCCAAAACAGAGGAAAAUAACUCCCCCUUUGUCAUUAUCGAGAUCCCCACCUGGGAGAGCAUAGUUAAUGCUAAGGGAGGAGUUAACCUGCCUACGGAAGAUGCUAAGGAUCCUAAGCUUUGGUCCAGAAUCUGUGUGCACAAUAUGGCAAAGUUUGCUAGGGAGGCAACAACAUUCCGUCGUAUCUUAGAGUCUGUGUUCCGGUGCUUUGGUAGCAGUAGUUCCUGGUCACCAGAUAAUGGACUUGCUCUGUGUGUAUUGUUAGACAUGCAACUGUUAGUGGAACACUCAGGGCUAAACAUGCACUUACUGCUGGCUCUACUGAUAAAGCAUAUUGAAAACAAAGCAAUGGUGAAGCAACCAGACAUGCAGCUUAGCAUCGUGGAAGUGGCAGCUAUCCUUGCAGAGCAAUCUAAUGCUCAGGCUUCAGUAGCAACUAUAGGUGCCAUAAGUGAUCUAGUCAGGCAUUUAAAGAGAACAUUCCAUAUUACUCUUGGUAGCAAAGAUGUGGAGCUAGUAAAAAGGAACGAAAAAUACCGAAAAGCCAUAGAUGAAUGCCUAGUGGAACUGGCAAAGAAGGUAUCUGAUGCUGGGCCAGUUCUUGAUAUGAUGGCGGUGAUGCUAGAGAACAUUUCAAGCACUCCUGUUGUGGCCAGAUCAACUGCGGCUGCUGUUUAUCGCACAGCUCAAAUAAUUGCGUCUGUGCCAAAUAUUCAAUAUCAGAAUAAGGUGUUCCCAGAAGCUCUAUUUCAUCAGUUACUCUUAACAAUGAUCCACCCUGAUCAUGAAGCUCGUGUGGCUGCCCACCGUAUAUUUGCUAUUGUCUUGGUCCCCUCCUCCGUUUCCCCUAUACUUCAAGCAAGUGCUACAAGCCAGGCUAGGGCACAUGACAUGCAGAGAACACUCUCUAGGGCUGUCUCCGUGUUUUCAUCUUCAGCUGCUAUCUUUGACAAGUUGAAAAAGGAUAAGCACUCUGACAAUUCACAAGGAGAAAGCAAGAGUAAUUCGCACGGCGUUAGUGAAGAGACUGGAAGUGCUAAUCGGCAAAAGCUACCUGUGUCUCAAAGCCGCCGCAGUAGCAUGAGAAUGCCUAACUUCUCCAUGAAAAAAGGUCCAUCAAUGGCUUUGAGAGCUCCUUCAUCUGUUAAAGCUCCCUCCAUCGUUCUUAGAGGUCCUUCAAUGGCUCUGAGAGCACCUUCUAUGUCUGUGAAGGAAGAAAAAAAAUCCUCAAGCAUGUCAGAUGAUGAAAUGGAUACACUUUUGCUGAAGUUGAGUAGUCGUCAGAUCACCCUUUUGCUGACAUCCAUUUGGGCUCAAGCAGUAUCUCCUGAGAACACUCCUGCAAACUAUGAAGCCAUUGCUCAUACCUACAGCUUGCUUUUGUUGUUUUCUGGAUGCAAGGCAUCCAUUCUUGAGGCUCUUACUCAGAGCUUUCAGGUUGCAUUUGCUUUGAGGCACUAUUCACUAACUGAAGCAGAAUUACCACCAUCUCGACGCCGCUCCUUGUUUACUCUGGCUACAGCCAUGACAAUUUUCUCUUCAAGAGCUUUCAAUGUGGCACCUCUUAUUCCAAUCUGUAAACAGAUGAUUAAUGACAAAACGGGCGAUCCAUUCCUCCAUAUAGUGGAUGAUAGUAAACUUCAGGCUGUGAAAGAUUCCCCUGAUAACCCAUCGAAAAUAUACGGAUCACCAGAGGACAAUGCUAGCGCGUUGAAGGCCCUUGAAGCAAUAGAAGUAUCAGAAAAUCAAUCUCGAGAGUGCAUCGUCUCUACAAUCAUGAACAAUAUAGCAAAUAUUAUUGAUGCAGAGUUGCACAGUGUGAGAAGCCAACUGCUAAGUGACUUCGCUCCCGAUGACAUGUGCCCAAUGAGCAAUCAGUUCUUUGAAGAAUCUGCUGAGCAUUCAGUAUCAGGAUCUCAUGAGAAUGGCCACCAUGAAGAGGCUAUGGUGAUUGACCUGGGAAAUGAGAACGAUAUCUUUGGGGAAGCUUCAGGAAGUACAGCAGCUUCUGCAACAUCUGUACCUACUGCAGAUCUUAUGAGUAUUGAUCAGCUUCUCGAAACAGUCGGCGCAGACCCUGCACAUCAUACGGAAAAAUCUUUUGUGUCAGCAGACAUGCCAUACAUGGAAAUGACUAGCCAAUGCGAAGCCCUGACGAUGGGGAAACAGCAGAAGAUGUCUACCUUCAUGAGCUUCCAGACGAACAUGCAAGCAGCUCCGCUGCCAAGCCAUCAGCCCAGCCAGAUGGAGAUGGCUCUCUUCCAUGAUCCGCCGUUGCCUCAGGCCGGGGCGCAGAGCACGAACCCGUUCGCCGACGACAACUUCAAGGGUUACCCUGAGUACACGAACACCGGCAACCCGCAGCCGGCAGAUGAUCCCUUCCAGCAACAUUUCCUGAAGCUGCCGGCGUCAAGCCCCUAUGACAACUUCCUCAGGGCUGCAGGCUGCUGA